UUGUUCGAAUCCCGCAGAGGGGAGACCCGCGAAUCCGUUCAAAAAGACGGGGAGGCGGGGCGCGGGUUUCGUUCCGCUCUCGCUAUCCCCGCAUCGACGGCCGGGGGACCCUCCGGACGCCGACUAACAAGCGCGGGACGCGCCAAGGACCCCUCAAAACGGACGCCUCGCCCGGGCUUUGCACCCUCCGGGGUGCCAGGCCUCGGGAGCGGGGGGCGCCGGUUAUAUCUAAGAUGACUCUCGGCAACGGAUAUCUAGGCUCUCGCAUCGAUGAAGAACGUAGCAAACUGCGACGCUUGGUGUGAAUUGCAGAAUCCCGUGAACCAUCGAGUCUUUGAACGCAAGUUGCGCCCGAAGCCGUUGGGCCGAGGGCACGUCUGCCCGGGCGUCACGUCACGCAUGGCGUCGCCCUCCCCUCUCCCCUCUGCCUCGCUGGGGCACGGCGGGAUUGCGGGAGGGCGGAGACUGGCCUCCCGCUCCCCGCGAGCGGCCUGCCGAAACGCAAAUCCGCCGCCGCCGUGCGGUGCGGCCAUAGGUAGCACUCAACCACGUCGAGAACGCAGGUCGCGCGACGCGGCGGCU
This 582-nucleotide unclassified non-coding RNA is filed under the name Allamanda cathartica (golden trumpet). RNAcentral describes it as "contains ITS1, 5.8S rRNA and ITS2". The stretch from base 236 to 391 matches the Rfam family "5.8S ribosomal RNA". The record is from RNAcentral. Lineage: Eukaryota; Viridiplantae; Streptophyta; Magnoliopsida; Gentianales; Apocynaceae.